RNAcentral lists this small nucleolar RNA (126 nucleotides) under Myotis brandtii (Brandt's bat). RNAcentral describes it as "Small nucleolar RNA SNORA42/SNORA80 family". It matches the Rfam family "Small nucleolar RNA SNORA42/SNORA80 family". From Rfam's summary of the family: The members of this family belong to the H/ACA class of snoRNAs that guide the sites of modification of uridines to pseudouridines. Human ACA42 (SNORA42) was cloned from HeLa cells by immunoprecipitation with anti-GAR1 antibody. Lineage: Eukaryota; Metazoa; Chordata; Mammalia; Chiroptera; Vespertilionidae. The record is from Rfam by way of RNAcentral.
GGAUGAAGAGGAUUUUAUUUUUUCUCAAGAUGAAUAGUGGACCCAUGCCAGAGGAAGUUGCAGCCUCAAACCAUUGCCCAGCCUCCUUACCCUUGGGCUGUGAGCACUGAAGGGGGCUGUACAGUA